CUUAAAACUAAAAGGGCCUUGAGAUAACGAAAAUGACGAAAAUCACUUCUUGUUCCUCAGUUGCUAUCUGCUUCUACCCAUUUCCACGGCUUUCCUGAAAUGUAUCUUAAAACUCAUUCCCCUUUUCUUCAUAAGCUCAAGCAUUCAGCUCGGUAUCUUUUUACACAAAGUUAUGGUUUGGCCAUGAAA
Hibiscus syriacus is the source of this 189-nucleotide long non-coding RNA. RefSeq lists it as uncharacterized. NCBI's taxonomy places the organism in Eukaryota, Viridiplantae, Streptophyta, Magnoliopsida, Malvales, Malvaceae. The transcript is spliced from 2 exons. The record is from RefSeq and is a predicted model, not a curated record.